RNAcentral lists this ribosomal RNA (274 nucleotides) under uncultured bacterium. RNAcentral describes it as "partial 16S ribosomal RNA". It matches the Rfam family "Bacterial small subunit ribosomal RNA", at positions 523 to 796 of the family's 1533-position model. The record is from RNAcentral.
AUACGAAGGGGGCUAGCGUUGUUCGGAAUUACUGGGCGUAAAGGGCGUGUAGGCGGGACAUCAAGUUAGGCGUGAAAGCCCCGGGCUCAACCCGGGAACUGCGCUUGAUACUGGUGACCUAGAGUCCGGGAGAGGGUGGUGGAAUUCCCAGUGUAGAGGUGAAAUUCGUAGAUAUUGGGAAGAACACCGGUGGCGAAGGCGGCCACCUGGACCGGUACUGACGCUGAGGCGCGAAAGCGUGGGGAGCAAACAGAAUUAGAUACCCUAGUAGUCC